Molecule: long non-coding RNA, 636 nt
Filed under: Equus asinus (donkey)
Lineage: Eukaryota; Metazoa; Chordata; Mammalia; Perissodactyla; Equidae
Description: lncRNA (ENSEASG00005030932.1)
Source: RNAcentral
GGAACUUGUGCAAGGUCACACAGCUGGGAAUCUCAGGAUGGAUCUGACCCCACCACAAACAUCCUGAGUACAGGCAGGACAGCCAGCCUACCCUCCGUCUGGGAUUUCAUAAUCACCCUUCACAUCCGAACGAGGCAUGCACAGUGAAUCCCUGUUUCACAGAUGAGGAAACUGAAGCUCAGAGAGAUGGGGCAUCUGAGACUCGAGCACGGAGAUGACUUCCUAGUCAGCCCAUGGGCUGUCCAGCGGUCGAGACUUUGGCCAGCACAGUCGGGCAGCUCCACCCCACAGCAGGCAAGGCCCAAGGACUCCGAGAGCUAACAGCCAUCGAAUGUAACAAUGGCCACCAUUUAUUGAGCCCCGAUUAUGUGCCAGGCGCUGUCCUGGGUGCUUUCCACAUUUUGCAGUGACUCAGCCAGUUCAGGUGGGACACCAAGAUGGCUGCUAGAGAACAGACCCCUUUGGUCCCCUCUCCUCCUGCUCCCCGCCCUCCUGCGGAGCUCUCAGGUUGACCUGGGGGGCAGAAGGUGUCCUCCCGGGCCCUGCCACCACCCAUUACUCCCUAACCGCUGCAGCUGGGAGAUAAGAUAGCACCAGCCCAUUAAUCAGGGCUGCUUGGCAGGGAGGUGGGGGUGG